UGGGGAAUAUUGCGCAAUGGAGGAAACUCUGACGCAGCAACGCCGCGUGAAGGAUGAAGGCUUUCGGGUUGUAAACUUCUUUGAUCGGGGACGAAAAUGACGGUACCCGAAGAACAAGCCACGGCUAACUACGUGCCAGCAGCCGCGGUAAUACGUAGGUGGCAAGCGUUGUCCGGAAUUACUGGGUGUAAAGGGCGUGUAGGCGGGAAGACAAGUCAGAUGUGAAAGCCCAUGGCUUAACUGUGGAACCGCAUCUGAAACUGUUUUUCUUGAGUACUGGAGAGGAAAGUGGAAUUCCCAGUGUAGCGGUGAAAUGCGUAGAGAUUGGGAGGAACACCAGUGGCGAAGGCGGCUUUCUGGACAGUAACUGACGCUGAGGCGCGAAAGCGUGGGGAGCAAACAGG
RNAcentral lists this ribosomal RNA (404 nucleotides) under uncultured prokaryote. RNAcentral's name for it is "bacterial SSU rRNA". It matches the Rfam family "Bacterial small subunit ribosomal RNA", at positions 355 to 776 of the family's 1533-position model. The record is from RNAcentral. RNAcentral also lists the same sequence under 1 other name.